AUCAACCAUCUUGUGGGAAUAGCCUCCACACUCUUCCUACAACCAAUGUAGUGGCCCUCACAAAGCACACAAGGAGACAAUUUGCAAGGCAACAACCCUAUCUACCAUUUAUGUGGUCCUUCAGCAAAACAACUCCAACAACUUGGCCAUGCAUUAUCCAUGAUGACACCAAACAACACAAAUGGUAAUAGCAAUGCUUUUGCAAAUGUUGCAAGUUUGUCCCAUUUUUCUAAUGUUUUAAUCAAUUUAGUUUUCACUAAGGAUUAGAUUUUGGAUUGCGAAGUAACAGACCAUAUCACUUUAGAUUCCACACUUUUUACCCAG
This 324-nucleotide long non-coding RNA is filed under the name Vitis vinifera (wine grape). Its description in RNAcentral is "long non-coding RNA (VVIN_LNC004070)". Lineage: Eukaryota; Viridiplantae; Streptophyta; Magnoliopsida; Vitales; Vitaceae. The record is from RNAcentral.